AGAUGUGAGGGCGAUCUGGCUGUGACAUCUGUCACCCCAUUGACCGCCAGGGUUGAUUCGGCUCAUCUGGCUGGCUAGGCGGGUGUCCCCUUCCUCCCUCACUGCUCCAUGUGUGUCCCUGCUGAAGCUGCGCAUGCGGUCCAAGAGGACGGCCUUCCCCCGAAUAGAGACGGUCUUCAGUAGAGGGUAUACGAGUAGUUGCGCUCGCCUGCUAGAACCUCCAAAUAGGCUCUCAAGGUCCAAAUUGGGAUAUGAAAAAUGUACUGCUACGAACAGUGGUAAACAUAUAUCUCUUCAUAUAGGCAUCCUUGCUUCCUUU
Molecule: small nuclear RNA, 319 nt
Filed under: Erinaceus europaeus (western European hedgehog)
Lineage: Eukaryota; Metazoa; Chordata; Mammalia; Eulipotyphla; Erinaceidae
Description: 7SK RNA
Rfam family: 7SK RNA
About the family: 7SK was discovered as an abundant small nuclear RNA in the mid-70s but a possible function has only recently been suggested. Two independent studies have found that 7SK RNA binds the CDK9/cyclin T complex (known as elongation factor P-TEFb).
Source: Rfam by way of RNAcentral